This 468-nucleotide ribosomal RNA is filed under the name uncultured bacterium. RNAcentral's name for it is "partial 16S ribosomal RNA". It matches the Rfam family "Bacterial small subunit ribosomal RNA", at positions 28 to 507 of the family's 1533-position model. The record is from RNAcentral.
GACGAACGCUGGCGGCGUGCUUAACACAUGCAAGUCGAACGGAAAGGCCCUGCUUUUGUGGGGUGCUCGAGUGGCGAACGGGUGAGUAACACGCGAGUAACCUGCCCUUGACUUUGGGAUAACUUCAGGAAACUGGGGCUAAUACCGGAUAGGAGCUCCUGCUGCAUGGUGGGGGUUGGAAAGUUUCGGCGGUUGGGGAUGGACUCGCGGCUUAUCAGCUUGUUGGUGGGGUAGUGGCUUACCAAGGCUUUGACGGGUAGCCGGCCUGAGAGGGUGACCGGCCACAUUGGGACUGAGAUACGGACCAGACUCCUACGGGAGGCAGCAGUGGGGAAUAUUGCACAAUGGGCGGAAGCCUGAUGCAGCAACGCCGCGUGCGGGAUGACGGCCUUCGGGUUGUAAACCGCUUUCGCCUGUGACGAAGCGUGAGUGACGGUAAUGGGUAAAGAAGCACCGGCUAACUACGCG